GAUGAAGAACGCAGUGAAAUGCGAUACUUGGUGUGAAUUGCAGAAUCCCGUGAACCAUCGAGUCUUUGAACGCAAGUUGCGCCCGAAGCCAUUAGGCCGAGGGCACGCCUGCCUGGGCGUCACACGUCGUUGCCCCCCCAUCUACUCCUUCGGGAUUGCGGGGGGCGGAUGAUGGCCUCCCGUGCGCCUCGUCGCGCGGUUGGCAUAAAUACCAAGUCCUCGGCGACGCACGCCACGACAAUCGGUGGUUGCGAAACCUCGGUUGCCCGUCGUGUGCGGUCGUCGCGCAUCGAGGGCUCGAAAAAAUUGCCGGGCUCCGGCUCGGCUUUCAACGCGACCCCAGGUCAGGCGGGGUUACCCGCUGAAUUUAAGCAUAUCAAUAAGCGGAGGA
RNAcentral lists this unclassified non-coding RNA (391 nucleotides) under soil metagenome. RNAcentral describes it as "partial contains 5.8S ribosomal RNA, internal transcribed spacer 2, and large subunit ribosomal RNA". The stretch from base 1 to 122 matches the Rfam family "5.8S ribosomal RNA", at positions 35 to 154 of the family's 154-position model. The record is from RNAcentral.